This 207-nucleotide ribosomal RNA is filed under the name uncultured bacterium. RNAcentral describes it as "partial 16S ribosomal RNA". It matches the Rfam family "Bacterial small subunit ribosomal RNA", at positions 568 to 774 of the family's 1533-position model. The record is from RNAcentral.
CAUGUAGGCGGAUAUGGAAGUCAGAUGUGAAAGCCCUUGGCUCAACCAAGGAAGUGCAUCUGAAACCACAUAUCUUGAGUAUGACAGAGGGAAGUGGAAUUUCCAGUGUAGAGGUGAAAUUCAUAGAUAUUGGAAAGAACACCGGUGGCGAAGGCGGCUUUCUGGGUCAUUACUGACGCUGAGAUGCGAAAGCGUGGGGAGCAAACA